GCCCCGAGAAGACGGAGGUGACCGAUGAGAGGCCACGCUCCGGCUGGCUCUGGAGGUGUUCUGUCUCUCUUCUUGUGGAGCUUGGAUUUGGCCAUAAUCAUAUUGAGACAAACAACAAUGAAAACAAGUCCAAGAACCGUGAGAGCUUGAAGCUGAAGCAAUCCUUGCCUUUUGGCAUGACAAAGUCUGGCAGCCAGACAACAGAAAGAAAGAAAAAUAAAAUUCACCUCUGGCAGGGAAGUCUUAGAAGGUGAUAGUGUCAAACUCUACGCGUGAUCGUGCAGAAAAAGAGGAAAGUGCCAAACAUAAUGAAAACAUCCUCUCUGUGCUGUGUUGAAUUCUAGUGUUGAUUGAUUGUUUCUUGAAUAAAGAGGAAAGUGCCAAUCAUAUUGUUUCUUGAA
Molecule: long non-coding RNA, 401 nt
Organism: Camellia sinensis
Lineage: Eukaryota; Viridiplantae; Streptophyta; Magnoliopsida; Ericales; Theaceae
Source: RefSeq, a predicted model, not a curated record